AGCAGCCGCGGUAAUUCCAGCUCCAAUAGCGUAUAUUAAAGUUGUUGCAGUUAAAAAGCUCGUAGUUGAAUUUCGGGGUUAGUAGGUUGGUCAUGCCUCUGGUAUGUACUGGUCUCACUGAUUCCUCCUUCCUGAUGAGCCGUAAUGCCAUUAAUUUGGUGUUGCGGGGAAUUUGGACUGUUACUUUGAAAAAAUUAGAGUGUUUAAAGCAGGCUUACGCUUGAAUACAUUAGCAUGGAAUAAUGAAAUAGGACGUUUGAUUCUAUUUUGUUGGUUUCUAGGAUCGACGUAAUGAUUAAUAGGGAUAGUUGGGGGCAUUAGUAUUCAAUUGUCAGAGGUGAAAUUCUUGGAUUUAUUGAAGACUAACUACUGCGAAAGCAUUUGCCAGGGAUGUUUUCAUUAAUCAAGAACGAAAGUUAGGGGAUCGAAGACGAUCAGAUACCGUCGUAGUCUUAACCAUAAACUAUGCCGACUAGGGAUCGGAUGAUGUUAAUUUUAUAAUGACUC
This 507-nucleotide ribosomal RNA is filed under the name uncultured Glomeromycotina. Its description in RNAcentral is "SSU rRNA". It matches the Rfam family "Eukaryotic small subunit ribosomal RNA", at positions 569 to 1077 of the family's 1831-position model. The record is from RNAcentral. Lineage: Eukaryota; Fungi; Glomeromycota.